UGGCUGAUUCCAUGGAUACACCUGUUAUGAUAUCUGGCACACCGGAUCAGAUGCAUGCAGCCCGAAGUCUUGUUCAAGCAUUUGUUCUAAGUGAACCACCUGCCCCAUGAGAUUUCAAAUCUCUGAAGGUGAUGCAUCCCCUUCUAAUAUUUUGAUCCUUCUGGGGAGAUCAUACGCCCAGGUGAUGCUGUUUGCGUGCUGGGCAAUGAAGCUAGUAACCUUAUGUGUGUUUGAAUUUUUCAUCACUCUGUCUGCAGAGUUGCAUGCGUGAAUGGAUAAUUAUGCUGAACAAAGACUAAAAUUCCAGUGGUGGAACUUCUCUAGGUUCCUUUUAUAAUCUCCCAAAGUUGUGGCACCAGAUAUGGAAAGCAUUAUAGCUGCCUGAAUCUAUCACUUUAUGCAAGCCGUAGCUUGGGGUUGGAAAGUUUCUAACCUUUUUGUGUGAGAACCCUAUCAUACGAUGUUGUGAACUUCUAUAAAGGGAAAUAACCUAUUAGUUAUCAUUAUGAAUUUUUGUCUGACAUCUGCAUUAUUAAGUACUGACAUGACCACU
This 553-nucleotide long non-coding RNA is filed under the name Triticum aestivum (bread wheat). RNAcentral describes it as "long non-coding RNA (TAES_LNC025393)". Lineage: Eukaryota; Viridiplantae; Streptophyta; Magnoliopsida; Poales; Poaceae. The record is from RNAcentral.